This 460-nucleotide ribosomal RNA is filed under the name uncultured bacterium. RNAcentral's name for it is "partial 16S ribosomal RNA". It matches the Rfam family "Bacterial small subunit ribosomal RNA", at positions 338 to 795 of the family's 1533-position model. The record is from RNAcentral.
CCUACGGGGGGCAGCAGUGAGGAAUAUUGGUCAAUGGACGCAAGUCUGAACCAGCCAUGCAGCGUGCAGGAAGACGGCUCUAUGAGUUGUAAACUGCUUUUGUACGAGGGUAAACGCAGACACGCGUAUCUGUCUGAAAGUAUCGUACGAAUAAGGAUCGGCUAACUCCGUGCCAGCAGCCGCGGUAAUACGGAGGAUUCAAGCGUUAUCCGGAUUUAUUGGGUUUAAAGGGUGCGUAGACGGGUGGUUAAGUUAGUGGUGAAAUCCCGCGGCUCAACCUUGAAAUUGCCACUGAUACUGGUCGGCUUGAGAGCAGUUGCGGUAGGCGGAAUGUGUGGUGUAGCGGUGAAAUGCUUAGAGAUCAUACAGAACACCGAUUGCGAAGGCAGCUUACCAAGCUACUUCUGACAUUGAGGCACGAAAGUGUGGGGAGCAAACAGGAUUAGAUACCCUUGUAGUC